This is a long non-coding RNA of Austrofundulus limnaeus, 755 nucleotides long. RefSeq lists it as uncharacterized. The transcript is spliced from 2 exons. NCBI's taxonomy places the organism in Eukaryota, Metazoa, Chordata, Actinopteri, Cyprinodontiformes, Rivulidae. The record is from RefSeq and is a predicted model, not a curated record.
UGCUUUCUGAUGCUUCUUACAGCCUUUUCUUCUGUAAAACAGAAACAGGAUUUGUGAUUGUGUUUUACAUGCUUUCCCCAAACAUCAAUACAGUAGAUCAAGUGUGGAACAAUUAUUGUAUUUUAUCAUAUAAACUGACAUUUAUCUGUUCCUGGAUCACUCUAGGUAAUUUAGAGCUACAGUUUUUUGUCAACAAAUGGUUGCAACAUGUUUGUUUCCUGUCUGAUUAAAUCUCAUGUUCAGCACCAGCAGGUUUCAGGUGUGUCCACACCUCCAUCUGCUGAUCCUUCAGAGGAUUGUUUCAGGACAUGGAGCGACUGGGACGGCAGAUUAGAAGAAACUUUGCCAUGGAUGAAGAAGUGAAACACUACAAGGAAAUUUAGUCCCCGUUAUGAAGAGCAGCAGCUCUGAUUCUGGAUUUAUCGUCCCUGAAACACAACUAACUCAACAUGUCAGACAUUAAUAAAGAAGCAAAAUAACUGGAAACAGAUUCAUUUAUUUGUUCAACUUUCAUUGGUCAAAAAGUUUGUUUUACACCAGAAUCUACAUUUAAACAUCAUAGAAGAAAUAAAAAAAGCCAUUUUAAGACGAUGUACAAGAUAUAUACAUUAAAAAUACACAAAUACACACACACACUGUAUAUACAGUAUUUAAAGUCAGAGCAUCAGUUUUUGCACACACUGGGGUUUAGAGGUCUGAGUCUACAACAACAUAAAACUAAUGAUUUUAUUGAACUAGUCAACACAAAUCAAAUA